This 831-nucleotide ribosomal RNA is filed under the name Corynebacterium amycolatum. Its description in RNAcentral is "bacterial SSU rRNA". It matches the Rfam family "Bacterial small subunit ribosomal RNA", at positions 506 to 1335 of the family's 1533-position model. The record is from RNAcentral. Lineage: Bacteria; Bacillati; Actinomycetota; Actinomycetes; Mycobacteriales; Corynebacteriaceae.
UGCCAGCAGCCGCGGUAAUACGUAGGGUGCGAGCGUUGUCCGGAAUUACUGGGCGUAAAGAGCUCGUAGGUGGUUUGUCGCGUCGUCUGUGAAAUUCCGGGGCUUAACUCCGGGCGUGCAGGCGAUACGGGCAUAACUUGAGUACUGUAGGGGAGACUGGAAUUCCUGGUGUAGCGGUGAAAUGCGCAGAUAUCAGGAGGAACACCGGUGGCGAAGGCGGGUCUCUGGGCAGUAACUGACGCUGAGGAGCGAAAGCAUGGGGAGCGAACAGGAUUAGAUACCCUGGUAGUCCAUGCCGUAAACGGUGGGCGCUAGGUGUGGGUUUCCUUCCACGGGAUCCGUGCCGUAGCUAACGCAUUAAGCGCCCCGCCUGGGGAGUACGGCCGCAAGGCUAAAACUCAAAGGAAUUGACGGGGGCCCGCACAAGCGGCGGAGCAUGUGGAUUAAUUCGAUGCAACGCGAAGAACCUUACCUGGGCUUGACAUAUACAGGAUCGCGCCAGAGAUGGUGUUUCCCUUGUGGCUUGUAUACAGGUGGUGCAUGGUUGUCGUCAGCUCGUGUCGUGAGAUGUUGGGUUAAGUCCCGCAACGAGCGCAACCCUUGUCUUAUGUUGCCAGCACGUUGUGGUGGGGACUCGUAAGAAACUGCCGGGGUUAACUCGGAGGAAGGUGGGGAUGACGUCAAAUCAUCAUGCCCCUUAUGUCCAGGGCUUCACACAUGCUACAAUGGUCGGUACAGUGGGUUGCCAGUCCGUGAGGGCGAGCUAAUCCCGUAAAGCCGGUCUCAGUUCGGAUCGGGGUCUGCAACUCGACCCCGUGAAGUCGGAGUCGC